Molecule: transfer RNA, 78 nt
Filed under: Gammaproteobacteria bacterium
Lineage: Bacteria; Pseudomonadati; Pseudomonadota; Gammaproteobacteria
Description: tRNA-Cys
Source: RNAcentral
ACCUCUGCUGGUUCAACGUUCCGGUCGGUGCCCAGCACCGGCACCCGGAUUUCCUGGUGCUGCAUCCGGGCAGGGGCC